RNAcentral lists this ribosomal RNA (253 nucleotides) under uncultured bacterium. RNAcentral describes it as "partial 16S ribosomal RNA". It matches the Rfam family "Bacterial small subunit ribosomal RNA", at positions 524 to 776 of the family's 1533-position model. The record is from RNAcentral.
UACAGAGGCCUCAAGCGUUAGGCGGAAUCACUGGGCUUAAAGCGUGUGUAGGCGGGUCGUUAAGUACCUUGUGAAAUCCCACGGCUUAACUGUGGAACGGCUUGGUAUACUGGCGAUCUUGAGCCACUUAGGGGCUACCGGAACAGAUGGUGGAGCGGUGAAAUGCGUAGAGAUCCGGAGGAACACCGACGGCGCAGGCAGCGUCCUGGCCGCUUGCUGACACUGAGGCACGAAAGCUGGGGGAGCAAACAGG